Molecule: RNA transcript, 4083 nt
Organism: Hirundo rustica (Barn swallow)
Lineage: Eukaryota; Metazoa; Chordata; Aves; Passeriformes; Hirundinidae
Gene: CSGALNACT1
Gene name: chondroitin sulfate N-acetylgalactosaminyltransferase 1
Exons: 9
Source: RefSeq, a predicted model, not a curated record
ACACUACCUUCUUACAGUCUUCUAGCCAGAUCUGUUGUACAGUUAGAAAUGCCCAGAUUAAUUUUCCCUGCUUUGACAAGCUCCUUUACAUUUCAGGAGGCCAACAUUUUUAGUGCAUCCAUAGGAAGCGUCUCCACUACAGCCUUUCACCACACGAGAGACAGACUGAAGAUGUAGGCAGCUGACAAAUGUGAAAGCAAUGAAGAGGUGUUCUGAGGCUGACAGUGCUUUUCAUAGUGCACGCAUUUUCUGGGAAAGGCAUAAGGAGGGAGAUAAACAGGAGACGAUUUUGGCAGGCUGAGAAGAAGCUGCAGCAGACCAAGAUGUUCCAAAGAGAAGAUCACAUCAAAAAGGUCCUCAGGCUCCAUCAGCCACCGUCCAAUCACAUUGCAGCAACACAGGUGUUGCCAUGAGAAUCAGGAGGCAUCCUGUCUGUUUCACAACUUGUCUUUUUGUCCUGCUGGGUAUACACCAGAGAGAGCUAUAGAGGCAGAGCACACAUUUCAAGAGAGCUGAGAAACCAGUUCCUGCACAUACAUGCAUCUGUGUAAGAGUACUCCAAGACCAGAGGUCUCUGUGGCACUGCAUGGAUAUAAGAGCUGUUGCAUGUGUGGGCUUAGACUCUGCUUUUUGAGAUACGAUGUUCCGAAGAGGAUUUAUUCUAUUUCUUCCCCGACUUGUAGGCCUGCUGGUUGUGGCCUGUUGCUCAAUGUCUAUUGUUUAUAUGUUGGCUUGCACACCCAAGGGUGACAACCAGCAGUUUGCCUUGCCCAGGGUGCACAGUCCGACUGUGAAGGAGGGAUAUGAAGCCAUUCUGCAAGAGCGAGAAGAGCAACACCGCAAUUACAUCAUCAGCUUGAAGAAACAAAUUGCCCAGUUGAAGGCUGAGCUCCAGGGCAGGACUGAGCAGCUUAAGAACAUGCAGAAGCAGUACCCAGAUUCCUUGGACAUUCAGCUCGACCACAGUAAGCCAGAAAAGGCCCAGGCCAACCUGUUGGCUUUCCUCCGUUCCCAAGUAGACAAAGCAGAGGUGCACAGCGGCGUUAAGCUGUCCACAGAGUACGCGGCGGUGCCCUUUGAGAGCUUCACCCUCCAGAAGGUGUACCAGCUGGAGACAGGGCUGACACGGCACCCAGAGGAGAAACCCGUAAGGAAGGACAAGCGAGAUGAGUUGAUAGAGGUGAUCGAGUUAGCAGUGGGGAGCUUGAACAAGCCAGAUGGGGUCAGCAAAGCAAAACCCCGUGUAUACACAGCCUCCGACUUCGUUGAAGGGAUCUACCGCACAGAAAAAAAUAAAGGCACAUUGUAUGAGCUGACUUUCAAAGGAGAUGCUAAACAUCAGUUCAAGAAGAUUGUUUUAUUCCGACCAUUUGGUCCUGUAAUGAAAGUGAAAAAUGAAAAUGUCAAUAUGGCUGACACACUUAUUAAUGUCAUUGUGCCAUUGGCCAAGAGAGCCAGCAAAUUUCGGCAAUUCAUGCAGAAUUUCAGGGAAAUGGGCAUUCAGCAGGAUGGGAGAAUUCACCUCACUGUAGUUUACUUUGGAAAAGAACAAAUGAAUGAAGUCAAAUCAAUACUUGAAAAUACCUCUAAGUCAGCCAACUUCAAGAACUUUACCUUCAUCCAGUUGAAUGAAGAGUUUUCCAGGGGCAAAGGAUUAGAUGUUGGUGCUCGAUUUUGGAAGGGAAACAAUGUUGUUCUCUUUUUUUGCGAUGUGGACAUAUACUUCACAGCUGAAUUCUUGAACUCCUGUAGAUUGAACACACAGCCAGGGAAGAAGGUAUUUUAUCCUGUUCUCUUCAGCCAGUAUAACCCCAGUAUAAUUUAUGGUCACCAUGAUUCCAUCCCAUCUUUAGAACAGCAGCUGAUUAUUAAAAAAGAAACUGGAUUUUGGAGAGACUUUGGUUUUGGGAUGACUUGCCAAUACAGAUCUGAUUUUAUCAACAUAGGUGGCUUUGACCUGGACAUCAAAGGCUGGGGUGGUGAAGAUGUGCAUCUGUACCGCAAGUACCUUCACAGCAACCUCAUGGUGAUCCGAACGCCUGUCAGGGGUCUCUUCCAUCUGUGGCAUGAAAAGCAGUGUCUUGACGAGCUGACUCCAGAGCAGUACAAAAUGUGCAUGCAGUCCAAGGCCAUGAAUGAGGCUUCUCAUGGCCAGCUUGGGAUGCUUGUUUUCAAGCAAGAGAUUGAGACACACCUCCAUAGACAGAAAUCGAGCAGUAAGAAGACAUGAAUCCAGAAAGGGAGGUUCAAAGCCUCUGAAUUGGACUUUAGGGUGUUUUGGAAAAGAGGUUUUAACAAGAAAAGUUGGGAUGAGACUGAAAGAGGAUGGAGAUUCCAGCAGGAUGACAGCAAAAGAAGAGGGAAAGCAUCUGUCCUCUCUACUUUUGUUCUUAUUCUAACGGGGCUUUUAAGUACUCCAUUAUCCUGACUGUUCAGCAUGCUCCUGGGGAAGACUUGAACACUUGAUGAGAUUCAAGGUCACAUCACAGAGACAAUGAACAUUAUGUGCUAUAAUGUGACCAGUGUGGUAUUCACACUAACAAAUGGAUGUUCUUUUCCUUUGAAAUGUUUGUAAGAUGUGUACAGUUAUUUAAAGGAUUCACCUUUUGGUGGGCCAAUAAUUAGGAGUUAUUUUCUACACCUAACUUGACAUAUCUAAAAAGGGCUAUUUUUUCAUAAGAGACUCUUGCUCUAAGAAGGACAUCUGGUUGUUAACCAUGGUAAAGCUGGAGUGACCAAAAAAUACUUUUCCUUUAAGGGGCUGGGAUAGGGGAACAGCAGCAGUGCAUUAACAGGCCAUUUCCAGUUCAUUCAGAGAAAGAGGUUUCUCAGAAAGUGUUUUCUAAACUUAAGAAAGAGAAAACCUUACUGGUCAAGUGUGAUGGUUGAAGCUGUUUGUUUUCCUCUGUGGACAGUGAACCAAAAGCAAUGAUCCACAUCUGUAUCGUGUGAAUCAGAUUGUCAAUUUCUGCUUUAGAAUGCUGUAUGUAUUUCAAGAUUUAUUUUUAAAUGAAAUUUGUUUGGCUUGGGAAUUAUUUUGCCAUACUUCAGGUUUUCUGCUUCUAGCCUUAGCAGGAAAUAGUACAGCCUUCCAAUGCUUGGAAAAUGCUCUGCAGAUCUGUGUUUCUGUAGAUGGGAACUGGGUUCAGAUAAGUGAUUUUUCUAUACAACCUGGGCAUUGGAAUACAGAAGUUUUAUCAUGCUGAAGAAAAGGAAAUACAUAUCAACCUGCAGUACUGAUUUAGCAGGAGGCUUUAAACUCCAGAUGCCAGAUACCAAUGGUGGUGAACAUUUUCUGACUUUAUACCAAAGUAUUUCUUCUAAACCAAAUACAGAGUCUUGCCCAGAGUAUAGAAAGCUUUUUGUAUUUAGCAAAAUAAAUUUUUGUGAUGGACUACCGGACCCCACAAAUUCUCUUAUGAUAAUUAUAGGUAGUAAUUGUAAAAAUUAGUCAUCUUCUUAAUAGUUUUUGUUGCCUAAAACUGUUGAAAGUCUGAGUUACUGCUCUUAUAAAGCAUAUUCUUUUAAUGCUGACUGCUAUUUACUAUUUUAAUAUAUACUAGCCAACAAAAAUUGCAUGGGCUUAUAAAUCCCAUUUGCUUACCUAAAUGCUGUUUCUCAGAGCAGUCUCUUUGUUUUAUAGAUUCAGAUUAAUUCAAACCAGUCUGAAGCAGAUUCAAAUUUGGUUUUUGGCUUGUAAAAGCUGGGGGAAGGAAGGUAGCACUGAACAAUGAAUGAACCACUCUUUGCUGUGUGGCUGUGCAGUAGGAAGAGUGCUACGAUCCUCUUCUGAAAGCACUGCAUGCAGGUUCUGCAGACAGAGACCAUGAUGCUGAGGUGGAAGUUUAGGCUUGGGGGGGAGAGGUGGAUAUUGAAGUGGUCGCCGAUCUCCUCCUGUGGCACCCUUGGAAAUAUCUGCCUGCUUCCCUCUGUGGAUACCCUGCAGUGAAAGUCUCCUGUAGUCAUCUCUGGCUUGCCGUGCAAGUGAGCGUCUCUUCUCAUCUGCUGCCUUGGAUUUCUGCACUGGAACAAAAAAGGAGUCCUACAGGAGCGAACAAGCAACAAGUUUAAAGCUUGCUACCC